UGCAGUACUGCAUUCUAACCACUGCGCUCAGAGAGUCAGCAACCUGAUUGGAUCGCCUUGAAAUUGUAUCAGUAACAGACUGGGUUAAUCAACCGAUUUAGAAAAAUAAGAGAAUCGAAUCCAAGAAGAGCAAGACACUGGCCAGGGAGAAGAAUGUAAUGAAUGCGGAAAUCAUGGUUCUCAACAGCAGCUUUUCUCUCAGCUUUUCAUGUCUUAAUCACUCAAAGAAUCUGGGUCUCACUAAGGGUUUCAGGGGAGUGCAUUGAAAUUUUGAACAGGAAGAAAAAAAUUUAAAAAAAAUGCUUUGGGAGACAUCUGACCAUGCACAGAGCACCUGCCAGCAACCUCUUCAAUCAAACAAGCCUUUGCCUAAGAUCAAGCUGGAAUAAUGGAGGGUAGCCUUACAGCAGUUUGUAAGGAAAGAUACAGUUUGUUUAAGAAGAUGCUGACAGGACCUGCACAUUUAUAUCCUGCCUUUUAUUCAGGAACAGGAAGGGGAUUUUUAUGGGGAUUUCUCAUUUUACCCUUAAAACAAACUUCUGAAGUACUUGGGACUGAGAGAAAUAAGCUGGUUAAAAAUCGCCAACAGGUUUCCAUAGCUGAGGGUGGACCUGAUCCUGGAUCACUUGGUUGUAAUCCAGUGCUUUGAUUACUACAUCACACUGGCUCACACGUUAAGUACAUGAGGAAUUUCUUAUUUAUAAGGAAACCCAUUAUGUGAACCCAUGAUAUUAGAAACUACAUGAAAGUGGAUGGCCCAGAUUAAUUUUUGUUUCUGAAUAUGGAAUCUGGAGAACUUUAUGCAAUAUUUUAUAUUAGAGAAGAUGGAGUGAAAAUCAUAUUUUAUGACAUCGUAGAAGAAUUUCAUUGUGACUCGAGAAUUAAUAGGGUUAAAAGACAAUAAGAAUAUUCCUUCUUCUUAAGGUGGGCACUACAAAUUUUAAAGAAAACCUGUCAUAUUAAACCUGUGGGACCUCUUCAUAUAUACAUGUAAAAAGAUCUAUAAAAGAUUCUGCACUAGAGUUCAUAUUAAAAAUACAAAUACAA
This is a non-coding RNA of Pantherophis guttatus, 1047 nucleotides long. Lineage: Eukaryota; Metazoa; Chordata; Lepidosauria; Squamata; Colubridae. The record is from RefSeq and is a predicted model, not a curated record.